Molecule: ribosomal RNA, 210 nt
Filed under: uncultured bacterium
Lineage: Bacteria
Description: partial 16S ribosomal RNA
Rfam family: Bacterial small subunit ribosomal RNA
Source: RNAcentral
CUGUCCCAGUUCGGACUGGAGUCUGCAACCCGACUCCACGAAGUUGGAUUCGCUAGUAAUCGCGCAUCAGCCAUGGCGCGGUGAAUACGUUCCCGGGCCUUGUACACACCGCCCGUCAAGCCAUGGGAGCCGGGGGCGCCUGAAGUCCGGGACCGCGAGGACCGGCCUAGGGCGAAACUGGUAACUGGGGCUAAGUCGUAACAAGGUAAC